Non-coding RNA from Arachis ipaensis, 469 nucleotides. The record is from RefSeq and is a predicted model, not a curated record. Lineage: Eukaryota; Viridiplantae; Streptophyta; Magnoliopsida; Fabales; Fabaceae.
CGUCACUGACGUUUUGAUCAAAACGUUAUCGACGUUUUGUUGUGCAUGAUCAACACGUGGCAGAUUUCUCUCUCUUCCCACACAUUGAUGAAAACGCCAACUCUCUUCUUCCUUCAUUCUUUCUUCCUCAGCCCAUAAUAUCCAUAGUCUUCAUUCUUUCUUCUUCAUUUUGUUUACCCCACAUCCCCACAACCAGAAAAAACGGCAGCCCCACAUUCCCGCAGCAAGGAAAACGGCAACAGUUAAAGAUAGAAAAAGCGUUAAAGACAAAAAUGGGAAAACGUGACAUCACACGUGCUGACGAGCAUAUAUCAGAAUAUCUUCAACAUCCUAUAUAUGGUUCACGAAAUUUGCACACUAGACACUUACACCAAAUAGACUCAUAUGAUGCUAGGGUGGAAGAACAACUCAGAGAGAGCGGAUUCUAUCAUAUAUCUCAGAUUGGAAGGAUCAUGUCUCACGGUCCAAC